This 119-nucleotide ribosomal RNA is filed under the name Pteropus alecto (black flying fox). Lineage: Eukaryota; Metazoa; Chordata; Mammalia; Chiroptera; Pteropodidae. The record is from RNAcentral.
GUCUAUGGCCAUGCUACCCUGAACAAGUUCGAUCUUGUUUGUUCUCAGAAGCUAAGCAAGGCUGGGCCUGAUUAGUACUUGGAUGGGAGACCACCUAGGAAGACCGGGUGCUGUAGGUG